GCGGCUAUAGUUUAAUGGUAAAACUCCUGCCUUCCAAGCAGGUAUCGUCGGUUCGAUUCCGACUAGCCGCUCCA
RNAcentral lists this transfer RNA (74 nucleotides) under Lacunisphaera sp. RNAcentral describes it as "tRNA-Gly". It matches the Rfam family "tRNA". From Rfam's summary of the family: Transfer RNA (tRNA) molecules are approximately 80 nucleotides in length. Their secondary structure includes four short double-helical elements and three loops (D, anti-codon, and T loops). RNAcentral also lists the same sequence under 1 other name. Lineage: Bacteria; Pseudomonadati; Verrucomicrobiota; Opitutia; Opitutales; Opitutaceae. The record is from RNAcentral.